Molecule: ribosomal RNA, 486 nt
Filed under: Triticum aestivum (bread wheat)
Lineage: Eukaryota; Viridiplantae; Streptophyta; Magnoliopsida; Poales; Poaceae
Description: partial small subunit ribosomal RNA
Source: RNAcentral
AUGGUCCAAUGUUGCUUCAAGAGAAAAGCCCCCAUGCUAGUCUUCAAGCUUGAUUUCUCCAAAGCCUUCGACUGCAUCAACUGGGCGUCUCUGCGCGCGGUCACGCUCGCUCGGGGAUUUCUGGUGCUGUGGUGCGACUGGAUGGAUGAGAUCCUCCUAUCCUCCCGCUCCGCUGUGCUCCUCAAUGGCAUCCCCGGGAAGUGGUUCCCCCUUCGAUGCGGGCUCCGUCAUGGGGACCCGGUCUCCCCCUAACUCUUCCUCCUGGUCGUGGACGUGCUCCAACGGCUCAUCCGUGUCGACGACCUGAUGAGCCAUCCCCUGGUGAGCGGCCCCACUGGUGUUUCAGUACACGGACGACACGCUCAUCAUCAUGCGUGCGUGUCCCUAUGCUGCGGCCCGCCUCCGAGCUACCCUCGAUGCCUUCGCCGCUGCCACUGGGCUUGUCAUCAACUACGCCAAGAACACGCUCGUCCCCAUGCAUGUUGA